GCCUUUCCUCUGGGACUGUGAGGCCCAGAGUGCCCACCCAGAACUCCACCUCUGACCUCACAAAGGCCUGCUUCAGAACUCGGUCUCCACUGCACUGCUGGCCAGACGAGGGAUGUUAUUUUGGGCAGUGCAUCUGGACUUGGUUCAAGUGGCACCAGCCAAAUCCCUGCCUUACUGACCUCUCCCCUGGAGGAGCAGGAGCAGUGCUCAAGGCCGCCCUGGGAGGGCUGAGAGGCAGGCUCUGGACUGGGGACACAGGGAUAGCUGAGCCCCAGCUGGGGGUGGAAGCUGAGCCAGGGACAGUCACAGAGGAACAAGAUCAAGAUGCGCUUUAACUGAGAAGCCCCCAAGGCAGAGGCUGAGAAUCAGAAGACAUUUCAGCAGAAACAUACAUAUGAUAGUUGAGAAAGACACAUAUUCUGAUCAUGAAGAAAUAAACACAAGUUAAAUAUGACUAAGCAGAAAGAUGGAAGGACCAGGAAUGGUGAUGCUAACUUGGAACCACGAUGCAGGCUCUAAACUCCUCUACAAUCAUCCUCCCUUGUGAGAAAAAUACAUAAGAUCUAAGGCACAUGAGAUGAUAUGCUUUCUGUUUGAGUUUCUCCUUUAUGUUACGCAUACUGAUAAAAUUGUUGAUGCCAGUUGAUCUGAAGGUCCCAGCAAGGAGCCGACUCACAGAAGAAUGCAGUUUUCACAUCAUGAUGAUUUAAUCUUCCUUGACCUGAGCAAUUGACAACCCCAAUUCUCCAGAACCUCACCCGCCACAAUCCCCUUAAAAACCCUGGCCCAGAACCCCUCAAGCAGACAGAUGUGAAGCUUGAGGAUUCCUUCAUCUCUUUGCCCAAUGGCAUUGUGAUUAUUAAACUCUUUUUCUGCUGCAAAUUAUGAUGUCUCAGUGUAUUGGUCUAUUGCUG
This 914-nucleotide long non-coding RNA is filed under the name Homo sapiens (human). RNAcentral's name for it is "HSALNT0352384". The record is from RNAcentral. Lineage: Eukaryota; Metazoa; Chordata; Mammalia; Primates; Hominidae.